This 945-nucleotide ribosomal RNA is filed under the name Agaricus dolichocaulis. RNAcentral describes it as "partial large subunit ribosomal RNA". Lineage: Eukaryota; Fungi; Basidiomycota; Agaricomycetes; Agaricales; Agaricaceae. The record is from RNAcentral.
UUAGCAUAUCAAUAAGCGGAGGAAAAGAAACUAACAAGGAUUCCCUAGUAACUGCGAGUGAAGCGGGAAAAGCUCAAAUUUAAAAUCUGGCGGUCUCUGGCCGUCCGAGUUGUAAUCUARAGAAGUAAUGCCCGUGCUGGACCGUGUAUAAGUCUCCUGGGAUGGGGCGUCAUAGAGGGUGAGAAUCCCGUCUUUGACACGGACUACCAGUGCAUUGUGGUAUGCUCUCAAAGAGUCGAGUUGUUUGGGAAUGCAGCUCAAAAUGGGUGGUAAAUUCCAUCUAAAGCUAAAUAUUGGCGAGAGACCGAUAGCGAACAAGUACCGUGAGGGAAAGAUGAAAAGAACUUUGGAAAGAGAGUUAAACAGUACGUGAAAUUGCUGAAAGGGAAACGCUUGAAGUCAGUCGCGUUGGCCGGGGAUCAGCCUUGCUUUUGCAUGGUGUACUUUCUGGUUGACGGGUCAGCAUCAAUUUUGACCGCUGGAAAAAGACCUGGGGAAUGUGGCAGCUUCGGCUGUGUUAUAGCCCCUAGUCGCAUACAGUGGUUGGGAUUGAGGAACUCAGCACGCCGCAAGGCCGGGUUUCGACCACGUUCGUGCUUAGGAUGCUGGCAUAAUGGCUUUAAGCGACCCGUCUUGAAACACGGACCAAGGAGUCUAACAUGCCUGCGAGUAUUUGGGUGGAAAACCCAAGUGCGUAAUGAAAGUGAAAGUUGAGAUCCCUGUCGUGGGGAGCAUCGACGCCCGGACCAGAACUUUUGGGACGGAUCCGCGGUGGAGCAUGUAUGUUGGGACCCGAAAGAUGGUGAACUAUGCCUGAAUAGGGUGAAGCCAGAGGAAACUCUGGUGGAGGCUCGUAGCGAUUCUGACGUGCAAAUCGAUCGUCAAAUUUGGGUAUAGGGGCGAAAGACUAAUCGAACCAUCUAGUAGCUGGUUCCUGCCGAGUUU